AACGAACGCUGGCGGCAUGCCUAACACAUGCAAGUCGAACGAGACCUUCGGGUCUAGUGGCGCACGGGUGCGUAACGCGUGGGAACCUGCCCUUAGGUUCGGAAUAACUCCGCGAAAGGGGUGCUAUACCGGAUAAUGUCUUCGGACCAAAGAUUUAUCGCCUUUGGAUGGGCCCGCGUUGGAUUAGCUAGUUGGUAGGGUAAAAGCCUACCAAGGCGACGAUCCAUAGCUGGUCUGAGAGGAUGAUCAGCCACACUGGGACUGAGACACGGCCCAGACUCCUACGGGAGGCAGCAGUGGGGAAUAUUGGACAAUGGGCGAAAGCCUGAUCCAGCAAUGCCGCGUGAGUGAUGAAGGCCUUAGGGUUGUAAAGCUCUUUUACCCGGGAUGAUAAUGACAGUACCGGGAGAAUAAGCUCCGGCUAACUCCGUG
This 432-nucleotide ribosomal RNA is filed under the name uncultured bacterium. RNAcentral describes it as "partial 16S ribosomal RNA". It matches the Rfam family "Bacterial small subunit ribosomal RNA", at positions 29 to 507 of the family's 1533-position model. The record is from RNAcentral.